Molecule: ribosomal RNA, 263 nt
Filed under: uncultured Eubacteriales bacterium
Lineage: Bacteria; Bacillati; Bacillota; Clostridia; Eubacteriales
Description: uncultured Clostridiales bacterium partial 16S ribosomal RNA
Rfam family: Bacterial small subunit ribosomal RNA
Source: RNAcentral
UAGCAAUACCGGGUGGCGACCGGCGCACGGGUGAGUAACGCGUAUGCAACUUACCUAUCAGAGGGGGAUAACAGUUAGAAAUGACUGCUAAUACCGCAUAACACAUAGGUGUCGCAUGGCACUUAUGUCAAAGAUUUAUCGCUGAAAGAUAGCCUCGCGUCUGAUUAGCUAGUUGGUGGGGUAACGGCCUACCAAGGCGACGAUCAGUAGCCGGACUGAGAGGUUGAACGGCCACAUUGGGACUGAGAUACGGCCCAGACUCC